This 498-nucleotide ribosomal RNA is filed under the name uncultured bacterium. RNAcentral describes it as "bacterial SSU rRNA". It matches the Rfam family "Bacterial small subunit ribosomal RNA", at positions 201 to 716 of the family's 1533-position model. The record is from RNAcentral.
CUAAAGGAGCAAUUCGCUUUGGGAGGGACCUGCGUCCCAUCAGCUAGUUGGUGAGGUAAUGGCUCACCAAGGCUACGACGGGUAGGGGACCUGAGAGGGUGACCCCCCACAAUGGAACUGAAACACGGUCCAUACACCUACGGGUGGCAGCAGUAGGGAAUAUUGCACAAUGGGCGAAAGCCUGAUGCAGCAACGCCGCGUGUGCGAUGAAGGCCCUCGGGUCGUAAAGCACUUUUCUGAGAGAUGAGCAAGGACAGUAUCUCAGGAAUAAGUCUCGGCUAACUACGUGCCAGCAGCCGCGGUAAAACGUAGGAGGCAAGCGUUAUCCGGAUUCACUGGGCGUAAAGCGCGUGCAGGCGGUUCGGUAAGUUGGGUAUGAAAUCUCCUGGCUUAACUAGGAGAGGUUAUCCAAUACUACCGGACUUGAGAGUGGUAGAGGAAGAUGGAAUUCCCGGUGUAGUGGUGAAAUGCGUAGAUAUCGGGAGGAACACCAGUGGC